This 254-nucleotide ribosomal RNA is filed under the name uncultured bacterium. RNAcentral's name for it is "partial 16S ribosomal RNA". It matches the Rfam family "Bacterial small subunit ribosomal RNA", at positions 524 to 776 of the family's 1533-position model. The record is from RNAcentral.
CACGUAGGGUGCGAGCGUUGUCCGGAUUUAUUGGGCGUAAAGAGCUCGUAGGCGGUUUGGCAAGUCGGGUGUGAAAACUCCGGGCUCAACUCGGAGACGCCACUCGAUACUGCCAUGACUCGAGUCCGGUAGGGGAGUGCGGAAUUCCUGGUGUAGCGGUGAAAUGCGCAGAUAUCAGGAGGAACACCGGUGGCGAAGGCGGCACUCUGGGCCGGUACUGACGCUGAGGAGCGAAAGCGUGGGGAGCGAACAGG